Molecule: ribosomal RNA, 407 nt
Filed under: uncultured bacterium
Lineage: Bacteria
Description: bacterial SSU rRNA
Rfam family: Bacterial small subunit ribosomal RNA
Source: RNAcentral
GACGAACGCUGGCGGCGUGCUUAACACAUGCAAGUCGAGCGGUAAGGCCCUUUCGGGGGUACACGAGCGGCGAACGGGUGAGUAACACGUGGGUGACCUGCCUUUAGCUCUGGGAUAAGCCUGGGAAACCGGGUCUAAUACCGGAUAUGACUCCGCGGCGCAUGUUGUGGGGUGGAAAGCCUUGUGCGGCUGGAGAUGGGCCCGCGGCCUAUCAGCUUGUUGGUGGGGUGAUGGCCUACCAAGGCGACGACGGGUAGCCGGCCUGAGAGGGCGACCGGCCACACUGGGACUGAGACACGGCCCAGACUCCUACGGGAGGCAGCAGUGGGGAAUCUUGCGCAAUGGGCGAAAGCCUGACGCAGCGACGCCGCGUGAGGGAUGACGGUCUUCGGGUUGUAAACCUCUUU